GCCUGGGUGGCUCAGUUGGUUAAGCAUCCGACUUCAGCUCGGGUCAUGAUCUCAUCAUUCGUGGGUUUGAGCCCCGUGUCAGGCU
This is a transfer RNA of Felis catus (domestic cat), 85 nucleotides long. It matches the Rfam family "tRNA". From Rfam's summary of the family: Transfer RNA (tRNA) molecules are approximately 80 nucleotides in length. Their secondary structure includes four short double-helical elements and three loops (D, anti-codon, and T loops). NCBI's taxonomy places the organism in Eukaryota, Metazoa, Chordata, Mammalia, Carnivora, Felidae. The record is from Rfam.